AAGAUACUAGUAAAAUUAGAUAUUACAUUGCCUUGUCGAGGCAAAAUUGCAGGUUAGACCCCUGCGUACCUUA
This 73-nucleotide transfer RNA is filed under the name Hemiodopsis gracilis (slender hemiodus). Its description in RNAcentral is "tRNA-Asp". It matches the Rfam family "tRNA". From Rfam's summary of the family: Transfer RNA (tRNA) molecules are approximately 80 nucleotides in length. Their secondary structure includes four short double-helical elements and three loops (D, anti-codon, and T loops). Lineage: Eukaryota; Metazoa; Chordata; Actinopteri; Characiformes; Hemiodontidae. The record is from RNAcentral.